Molecule: transfer RNA, 77 nt
Filed under: Butyricicoccus faecihominis
Lineage: Bacteria; Bacillati; Bacillota; Clostridia; Eubacteriales; Butyricicoccaceae
Also listed under: 2 other names
Description: tRNA-Val
Rfam family: tRNA
About the family: Transfer RNA (tRNA) molecules are approximately 80 nucleotides in length. Their secondary structure includes four short double-helical elements and three loops (D, anti-codon, and T loops).
Source: RNAcentral
GGAGUUGUAGCUCAGCUGGUCAGAGCGUUCGCCUCACACGCGAGAGGUCAUGGGUUCGAGCCCCCUCAACUCCACCA